This 1779-nucleotide long non-coding RNA is filed under the name Macaca fascicularis (crab-eating macaque). RNAcentral's name for it is "lncRNA (ENSMFAG00000053557.1)". Lineage: Eukaryota; Metazoa; Chordata; Mammalia; Primates; Cercopithecidae. The record is from RNAcentral.
UGGGCACAUUCCCACUUGAUAUCACAUUCUAAGGACUUGCACAGGAUGCCUGCUGGGGAGAUAAGGCUGGAGGGGGCAAUAUGUGUGGACAGAUUAUAAAAGGCCCUGUUUACUACCACAGAGUUUAGAUUCUCCGAGACAAAAGGAACCCUCAAAAUGGAAUGGCAUGAUAAGAUCUGGUUUUUUUGAAUGAGUUACUCUGUUGGAGAGUGAAAUGGGAGGGUGAAGAGGCCUUCUGAGGCAAGAAGACUUACUCAGGAAGCUGUACAAGAACAAUAAAGGCCUUAAAAGGCUGUGCAGGCACAAGAUAGGAUUAAAAGGAUUUGGAGAUUGGACCAGGAGCAGGACCCAUCAAGGAUGACCAUAUUUACUUAACAAGGAUGUGGGAAUGUUGGAACUUGGAGGUCCCUUUCCUUCUAGCCAAAUAAUCUUCAAAGACAUUUUUCCAUCUCCUGCCUGACGACAACAGGAAUAAAAUGUUCUUCAGUCCCAACUGCCACCACUGUGAAGGCACAGACAAGAAAAAGGAGAGGAAGUAGAAAGUAGAUAGUAAACAAAACAGGUACUGAUGGUUAGGAGGCUAACCUUGUCACGGUACUCAGUGAUUUCUGAGCCAUUAGUGGCUUAACCUAGGUUUUUAUUGGUCCGAGGCUGGGGCAAGCUUAUGCUAGCACUGUGCAUUUAUGCAGUGCUUUUAUUUCCAGUAUCUGUACUUCUAUUUUCAUUCUCCAUUUUAUUCAUCCAAUAAUAACUUUCUUAUUUUCAUUGAGUCAACUGGCAGUAUGUUCUGGACUAUAUUAAAACCGUUUUCCAAAGUUUUGCCAUGGCUCGAGUUUCCAAAAUCACCACCACUUCAGCAAAUUUGGCCAAGUUUAUUUAUAUUGUUUAGUGAGUAACAACAUACAAAUGGUAAAUGAAGACAGUACAGUAAUCUUAAGUGUGUAGCUUGAAUUUUUACUUACGUAUACAUCUGUAUAACCACCCUCUAGAUAAAAGUAUACAACAUUUUCUGUACUGCAUGAGAUUCUCUUGUGUACUUUUCAGUCUGUUCCUUGAAAGGUUAAUCACUAUUCUGACUUCUAUAAACAUCUUUUCGUUGUGCUUAUUCUUAAACUUUGUAUAAAUGAGUCACACACUAGAACUUGUUUGUGUCUGAUUUCUUUCACUCAACAUGGUAUCUCUAUGUGAUUUCUUCAACUUGUUGGAGCUGAUUUUUUUUAAUGUGCAAUAUUCCAUUAUGUAAAUCUAUUACAAUUGAGCAUUUGGAUUGUUUCAUCUUUUGGAUAUUAUGAACAAAGCUGCUGUGAAUAUAAUGUACAAAUGAGAGAACAUAGCACUAAUUUCUUUUGAGUAUAAAGAAUGGAAUUGCUGGAUCAUAAAGCAGAUGCAUGUUAUCUCUAGUAGAAACUCAGUGGUUUUUCAGAACAAUUGUAUUAUUGUGCAUGUUCCCCCAGCUACGAAUAAGAGUUCUACAUCCUUGGGCCAGGCAUGGUGGCUCAUGCCUGUAAUCCCAGCACUGUGGGAGGCCGAGGCAGGCAGAUCACGAGCUCAGGAGAUCGAGACCACCCUAGCUAACACAGUGAAACCCCAUCUCUAAUAAAAAUAGAAAAGAAAAUUAACCAGGUUGGGUGGCACAUGCCUGUAGUCCCAGCUACUUGGGAAGCUGAGGCAAGAGAAUCACUUGAAUCCAGGAGGCAGAGGUUGCAGUGAGCCAAGAUCACGCCACUGCACUCCAGCCUGGGCAACAGAGUGAGACUCCAUCUCAAAAAAAAAAAAAAA